Long non-coding RNA from Callithrix jacchus (white-tufted-ear marmoset), 1627 nucleotides. The record is from Ensembl. Lineage: Eukaryota; Metazoa; Chordata; Mammalia; Primates; Cebidae.
CGGCUCCUACUCUCAGCCCUAGCUUGCAGGUGAGAGCCGCCACUGAACUUCUAAGUGAUGCUGGUGCCCUUAUCACCCAAACAUUCCUUACGGCUUUGCAAUGCAUGUACAAAGUCGGGCUGAUUGAUUCCCAGUCUCACCUGUAUACUGCCAGAACCAGUUUCCACAUUACCGAGAAGAGAUUCCGUCAUCGCGCACUCCCCACUCAAGACUGGGAACAGAAAUGGCAUCUAGCAAUGUGCCAUGACAAAUUCUCAGUCAUUUUGGACCAUCUCUUCAGUUCUGGCCUGGACUUUGGAGUGUAUCAUAUAGAUGAAAGAGCUGAAGCAAAGAAGUAUUAAAUAAUCAGCCAGAGGUCCUCUAACUAGGAAAUGACAGAAGUAGAUUUGAAUGCUGGCAACAAUGGCUCCAGAGUCUGUGCACUUAACUCUUAGGUCAGACUGAUCUUCCAACAGGAAACAUCGAAGAGAUCGUGCCAAAUAGAAUUCACCAAGUACUGAAUGCUCCAUUAGUCCUACAAUCUACUGACUGUCAGAAAUAAAUAGGCAGGCAUUGUUACCAUGGGGUCUGGGCAUCCUCGAAGUUAGAUUGUUGUUCUGGAAGCCCAAAGGCCAGAAUUUCAACCUCCUAGAUCCAAUUCAAUUUUGCAAGGGAGCUUAUUUAGAUUCUAGUCCCCAAAACCCCAGUCCAGCUUUUCCUGGGCAAAGGAGUCAUCUUUGAAGUAAAAUUUGUUUUCUUGUGCAGUUAGUAGUUCUCUCUCAAGAUCACUUAGAUGAUAGAAUAAAUAAGUUAGAUGUAGACAUCAAUAGAUAUUGAUAUAGCUAUUGCCCAUGGAGAAGUUGGAGGCUUCCCCAAUCUAUCCAAUCAAUUGUCAUAGGGUACUACUAGUGCCAAGGGUUUAUAGACAAAUUGAAACCUCAAAUUGAAACUGAAAUAAUAGAGCAUAUUCCUUCACCAAGUUCCAUUGGGUUUUCUAAUCAAUCAGACAGAAAUGUUUCUGGAUGAGCCUUGGCAAUAGCUCUACUUCCAAGCCAACAAUUUUUGGACUGUUGUCCUCAUUUCUUCUCUGUCAUCAACAGCAAUGGGGUUUGUUUCUGUUAGAGUUUGAGGUAGCCAUAAUCCUUAUACCAAUUUGAGCUCAGGUUGUAUGAAUACAUGACCCCUUUGAUGGAUUUUAUUAUCUAGCUGAUUCCUCCAUCAAAAUUAAUUAUGUUGUGGCAGCUUUUUCUUUCUCCAUACCCUAUUAUGAAGAUUGAUAACUCUGUUAAGUUAGAAAAAGAAAAGAAGAAACCCUUGAGGUUCCUAAGAUAUAUACACUUUAAGCCCAAUUCAAUCUUGGGUGCUGCUUGUGGAAUUUUGGGUACUGCUGCCAUUUUUCCUAUCUCAUAAACAAUGCCUACAGGUGAAGAAAUGUUAAUAAAUUAAACCUAUACCCAGAAUUCAAUGGGAAAGUCCAGAUAUUUGUUUCCUUCUGUAUUCCUCCCAUCAACCCUGUGUGGCCUUGGGAAACAGUUAUGUGCCGGGGACUCUGUAAUUCUGCUUUCUUUGAAAUUUGUGAGGGUGAAAUGGUCAGAAAUCUCUGGGUAUUCUUGGCUCAGAACCAAAACAACUUCUUGCAUGUCGCUUG